This 5151-nucleotide long non-coding RNA is filed under the name Homo sapiens (human). Its description in RNAcentral is "HSALNT0213772". Lineage: Eukaryota; Metazoa; Chordata; Mammalia; Primates; Hominidae. The record is from RNAcentral.
GACAUUAGAAUCAUAGGCUUUUGGUUAAAGAUUGCUUAAGAUGUUUCUCAGACCCUGAAUUCCAGCAACCAGUUUGAAGACCCUCACAGAGGAGGAAGAUCAGCAUGAGAAUACAGCUUCUUCAUCUCCCUGUGCCAUGACUUUACCCUGUACCCUUUUUUUUUUCCUUUCUUUUCUUUUUUUUUUUUUUUUUUUUUUGAGACAGAGUUUCGCUCUUGUUGCCCAGGCUGGGGUGCAAUGGUGCAAUCUCAGCUCACCGCAACCUCCACCUCCUGAGUUCAAGUGACUCUCCUGCCUCAGCCUCCUGAGUAACUGCGAUUACAUUCACGCGCCACCACGCCGGGCUAUUUUUGUAUUUUUAGUAGAGAUGGGGUUUCUCCAUGUUGGUCAGGCUGGUCUUGAACUCCCAACCUCAGGUGAUCCUCCCACCUCAGCUUCCCAAAGUGCUGGGAUUACAGGCAUGAGCCACCGUGCCCAGCCUACCCUGUACUCUUUAACCAAUCAACAAUCUCCAUACUUUGGCCCACUCCAAAGCCCUUAAAGACCCUAGCCCCAAACUCAUCAGGGAGAUGGAUUUGAGGUCUUUUCCCAUCUCUUUGUUCUGCGACCUCAUGAUCAAACAUCUUUCUCUGCUGCAAAUCCAGUGUCUCAGUAUACUGACUUGCUGUGUGCAACAGGCAAUGAAAAUAUUACAGUUACAAUACAAUUAGUUUUAUUUGUUUCUGCUUGUAUCUUUUUGGGGUCUGUCCCCCUAACUCCACAUCCUGCUUGAUGUAUUUAUUUUGGGAGUUAUGUAAAGCAUUAUUCAUUCCUAAUUUCCUUUUAAUCAAUUUAGAGAUACAGACCCCUGCUGAGCACCUACCAUGUGCCAGGGACAGCCUGGGUAUUUUUAUUACCUAUUAUAUGACUAUAAAAACAUAAUAUGACAUUUUAUAUGUCAAUACCUGGGUUAUAAAGCUUUAUGCCAAGAUUUCAAAACUGAUUUACUUUAAUCCCUGAAAGGUGACGCCCCUUUUGUAUUCUUUUAUCCCCUUUCUUAAUGGUUCUCCAACUCUGUGGAUCUAUAGAUUCUUUGGCUCUACUUAUAUAAAUAGCCUAAAAACAUAUCAGGAAUGACGAGGCUUUCUCAUGAAACUGUUCUUUCUCAUGAAACACUAAAGGAAUGUUACCUGUUUUAGUUUUUUAAUUAACAAUCAUUUUUUAUAAUUCACACUCUAAAAUGACAAUGUUGACACAAUAUUUGUAAAUACAAACAAAGACUGAGCACUCUUGAGGGCUCAUUCAUUUCAAUUUGGGCUUUUAGAAGACACAGUUCUAAGUGUUUACAAGGACUUUUUGAAAGGCAGCCAUGAGUUGGUCACUGGCCCUGCCUGGCAUAGGCCCCUGUCCUCACAUAGGACACAAGUGAGUUGGGAGAACUGUAAAGUAUAGUGGAUAAUGUGCAAUUUUUAGGUCAAAAGAGCUGUGCACCCUUAGGUAAAUUUCUUCUUGUCUCUGAGUUGCAAUUUCUUCAUUUGUUAAGAAGGAUACAUUAUAUAAGUUACAUAUGUUAUUUAUAUCAUUUAUAUAAAUAUAUAUCAUUUAUGUAUCUACUACACAUUAUAUACAUUAUUUAUCUCCCUUUACAAUGAGGUAAUAGAAUCAUUGUGAUAAUGAAAUUAUAUGUGCCAAAAUAUUUUUAAGUUUUCAGCACAUAUAAAGUACUCAGAAAAUGUCAGCUAUUUAGUACCAUUAUAAUUUCAUUGCUAUUUAAAACAUAAAUAACAGUAGCAUAUGUCAUUCAAUAAUCUAUAGUGUUUAUUUGGUAAAAAAAAAAAAACAGAUUCAUCAUCUGGGAUGGAGAAGAGACAGAGAAAAAGAAUGUUUAUUAGACCUCAUAACAAUCUAAUCCUGAUAAUAACCCAUUAAGGUAGAUAUUAAUAAACUCAUCUGUAAAACAAGGAUAAGUAACCUGCCCAAGGUCAUGCAACUACUAAGUGACAAGGCUAAGUACUAAUCUAGAUCUCACUAUUAAAAAGGGAUACUGGGCAGUGAGUUAGCUCUUUUAGAAGUAGAUAUGCUUGGCUGGGCAUGGUGGCUCAUGCCUGUAAUCCUAGCACUCUGGGAGGCUGAAGUAGGUGGAUCACCUGAGGUCAGGGGUUUGAGACCAGCCUGGCCAACAUGGCAAAACCCCAUCUCUACUAAAAAUACAAAAAUUAUCCAGGCGUGGUGGCGAGCGCCUAUAUUCCCAGCUAUUUGGGAGGCUAAGGUGGGAGAAUCACUUGAACCCUCGGGGGCAGAGGUUGCAGUGAGCUGAGAUCAUGCCACUGCACUCCAGACUGGACAAAAAAGCAAAACUCUGUCUCCAAAAAAAAAAAAAAAAAAAAAAAAAAAGGAGAUGCUUCGGCUUUAGAAAAAUGUCCUGAAUUUUUGUAUGGAGAACAGUGUCCAACAGGCGCCCAGAAUAGAACCCGACAAUAUGGCAGAAUCACUCCAGAGCAUAGCGUAUGUACAACUGGGCAAAAGAGACUUAGAACAUGACCUAGUUCCUGAGUAGGAACAUUCAUUCAUAGGGUCCUCUUAGGUAAGUCAAUUCCACAUUCUAGAUUUUUCAGUUCAGAAUUCAUCCCACAUAUUCUGUGUCAUUAUCACCAUGUGCAUUUUUGGGCUAGGUUACCAUUUUCACAGAUCCAAGAUAUUACAGAAGAAUUCCUACAAGUCUAGACUUGGCAUCUCAAACUGGCAACUUGUCUUUCAAAGCCCGCAAACCCAUUUUCUUCAGGAGACGUUACAAAAUCAAAUCUGAAUGCUUCUUAAUGUUGCAUGUGGGUUUCCAGGCUCCUCCCGCCCCCUGAGUCACCAUUCCUCCUUAUUACCUUUUAGACCAACCCUCUUUAUCCUUCAUCCAUAUACCGUAUGAUGCUUGGCCCCUAAGAGUGUUUAUGUUAAUCAGGACCCACUCCAGACUGAUUAAAUGAGAAUAUCUGGAUUUGGGGCCAGGAUAGAGAUUUUAAAGGCUGCCCUUGCCCAGGUGUUUCUAAUGAACAACCAAUGUUAGUCACAGCUCUAGCCCCUGCUCUCAAUCCAUACAUCAAUCUUUCUUUCUAUUGUAUUCUUCUCUUUGUAGUGAGCUGAAUAGUGUCUGCCCCCCUCCAACAAAUUAAUGUUCAUUUGGAACCUUAGACUGUGACCUUAUUUAGAAAUAGUCUUUUUUUUUUCUUUUGAGACAAGUCUUGCUCUGUUGCCCAGGCUGGAGUGCAGUGGGGUGAUCUGGGCUCACUGCAACCUCUGCCUCACGGGUUCAAGUGAUUCUCAUGCCUUGGCCUCCUGAGUAGCUGGGAUUACAGGUGUGUACCACCACGCCCGGCUAAUUUUUGUAUUUUUAGUAGAGACAGGGUUUCACCAUGUUGCCCAGGCUGGUCUUGAACUCCUGACCUCAGGUGAUCUGCCUGCCUUAGCCUCCCAAAGUGCUAGGAUUACAGGUGUGAGCCACCGCACCUGGCCAGAAACAGUUUUGGGUUUUUUUAGAUAUUAUUAGGCAAGAGUGUCAAAAUGAAGUGUUCAUGAAUUUAAGGUGAGCCCUAAAUCUAUAGACUGGUGCAUAUGAGAAGAGAAGACACAAGAAAACACACAUGGAAGAGAGUGAUGAAGGCGAAGACCGGAGUGAUGUAGCUCCAAGCCACAGAAUGUCAGAGAUCGCCAGGAGCCACCUCCGGGAUAAGGCAAGGAAGGAUUCUUUCCUAGAGCCUUCUGAGAGAGCACGACCCCACUGACACCUUAACUUUAGACUUCUAGCCUCCAGAAUCGCAAGAGAAUAAAUUUCUGUUGUUUUAAGCCACCCAAUUUGUGGUAAUUUGUUAGGGCAGCCCUGGGAAACUAAGACGCCCUAAGACAAACUCACCUAAUGUCUGCUGAGAAUUGCUCAGAUAUUCUAAAUGUCCGUGGAUGUCUCAUGCUUCCAGAAUUAAUUUGAAAAUAUUCUAACACUUAGGGGCACCAAAGGGGCUUUAGCAAGGAGGUAACUGUUCACUUGAGACACAGUCAGGGAGUCAUGGACUCUAGGGUCUUCCAGGGGCCCAUGGAGCCAGUGAGCUGGCCCAAAUCCAGGGUUCCCUAAUGCAUCUUCUCAUCACUUCAUUUCCUUUCCAUUAGUGGCGGUGGAGGACAUGACUUUUAUCUUUAGUGCCAAAGACACUAAGAGAAUGAACUCUUCCUGGUAACUAAUUAAGGUUUUAUUGCCUUCUCUCCCAUCAUCUCCUCUCUUUUCUAUUGUUUCUGUGCAGGUCCCACUUUCUGUAGUUGUUCUGGUUUUGACUUCUGUUUUCUCUUCCUUUCAGCAGAUGGAAAGGCAGCUCAACAUCUGAGAAGCCAGUCUUACUCCCUGCAGGCAACAGCUGCUUCCAGAAAACAGCCCUGUAAUUGUCACCAUCAAAUCCAUAUAUUUUCAAGGGAAGUUGGUCCCACACCAGAAGUCAUAGCUGAAUCACCAGCAGUAAUGCAGGGACAUACUGGUUGCUUCUUGGCUUUUCCAACCCUCUGCCAUGCUUGAACAUCUUUGUGAAAGUCCAGGAACAACAAAUAAGCUUAAGGAUAAAAGCCCCCCAGCCAUACCACCACAACCCCCUGUUAAACUCAUGCAUGACUUGUAGAAUCCUUUCCCCACUGUCACUAAAAGGCUUUUUACAUUUUCCCUCCUUAAAACACCAGUUUACUGAAUGGAACGCUAUUUCCUAAAUAUUUGCUACACACACAGCUGUAUAUAGAGUUCCCAGGAGAUGACUAUUACUUCACCAAAGUACAGUUCCUACAGGAAGAUAAUGAUCUGACCUAACCUACUAUUGGCUGAAGGAAGGAGAAAAGCAGCUGAAGAUGUCUGUUGAGUGAUUACCCUCAUAAUCCGUGACUAAGAACAUCCAAAUCAGCAUGGCUUCUUCCUGUCUGAAAUUAUUACUACUUAGGGUUUUUCACGUGUUAUUUCAUUUAUUGAUUAUUCUGUUUUAAACUUGCAAGACGUAUUGUCUCUUCAGAAAUAAAACUUUAUCACUUGCUUCAUCAAUUCAAUUAAUUUCACAAUGCAUUGAUUAAACUCCUACGUAAGCAUUUCAGCAUUUUAAAACAUUUUUAAAAAGGUAAAAUCAGGACUGUCAUGUGAAUGAUAUGCCAAAGGUUUUA